AUGAGGGGAUUGAGGAAAGGGUGGAGGCAACGACAGUUUGCAGCAAAUAAACAUCCAUCAUUGGUUGCAUGUGUGAGGAUAACUACCUGCAGGUCAUGUUCCAGAAUCCCCCUUUCAAUCUUCUAUCCCCAUAGACUGAAUAUGAGGAAAAUUGUGCUGGCGAUCUUUUCUAUACUAAGCAAUGGUAAUUAUUUUGUUCCCGUGAAACUCCAGGUUUGGCUGAUUGAUGAGUUCCAUAACCCACUCAAGAAAUAUGAAAGAAAAGGUAAAGUCAAGACACAGUUUGGUUUGUCAUUUUGA
RNAcentral lists this ribosomal RNA (300 nucleotides) under Triticum aestivum (bread wheat). RNAcentral describes it as "partial small subunit ribosomal RNA". Lineage: Eukaryota; Viridiplantae; Streptophyta; Magnoliopsida; Poales; Poaceae. The record is from RNAcentral.